RNAcentral lists this long non-coding RNA (486 nucleotides) under Homo sapiens (human). RNAcentral's name for it is "HSALNT0330099". The record is from RNAcentral. Lineage: Eukaryota; Metazoa; Chordata; Mammalia; Primates; Hominidae.
CAAUCAGCGAGACUCCGUGGGCGUAGGACCCUCCGAGCCAGUUCUCACCUUGAUGAUUUUAUAAAUACCUGUGCAAUCAUUUAAGGAUGCUGUUAUAACUUGCUAUCACAGGAUUCAGGUCCAAGAACCCUCUCUUAGGAUCUGCACUGGGACCUACCCCUUUUUGGCAACAUGUUCUUGGCAACCACGAAGGGACUAUCCUGAGGAGAUCCCUGACCCAAAGGAAAUAGACUGCAGAACCAAUUGGCUGACUUUGGGUAAGUGGUGGGGUAAACCUUACCCAGUUAAAUGAUGGUAUUGGGUUAGAGUACCUCCUAAGACAGAGAAGGUUAAAGGCCCCUCUUAAUAAAAGGCAAGGAUGCUUGACCAAACUUGGGUUCCAGCCCCAACUUAGGAAGGUUAGAGUCCUUCCUAAGAUUUAGAGGUUUAAAGGCCUCUCUCAGUGAAGUCCCUCUUGGUUAAAAAUGGAUUUGGCAUAAUGGGAUG